GGGGGGGGGGGGGGUCAUUUUUCUAUGGAUUUGUGGGGGAUACUGAAGCGCAAAUCAGGAGGUGGGGUACCAAUAGGGCAUUUUUCUGUGGAUUAUUUUUUUUGGGAUAAUGCGCUAGCGCAUUCUUCGCAUGUUCUUAUGAAAGUGUGCCGCUUAAGACAUCAAACCUAAUCAAAUCAUUAAAUCGCCCACUACCAUUGUAAUUUGUGAAUGCAGAAUUCUGGCCAAAUUGCCCCCUUAGAUGAGAUUGUCAGGUUGACGGAGAAAUACAGGUUCCGUGUUAUUCUAGAGGAGAGUCAUUCUUUUGGGGGUGCUUGGUAAGUCUGGGCGCGUGGCCUUGCUGAACAUUAUGGAGUUCCUGUGAGUGUUCUGCUUUGGCUUUUUUUAACAUGUUUCACUCUGACAAUAAAAUGGUGUAAAAGAAGAAACAAGUAUUAUAAUCCAAAGCUUCCCUGGUAGCCACCAAUUGAUUCAUUAACUGGAUACUUAUGCACAUUCUCCCCUUUGUGUGAAACAUGCUUGCACAGAUUGAAAAAAUUGAUAUCAUCACUGCUGGAUUGGGAAAUGCAUUAGCCACUUAUUGUGGCUUCUGUACAGGAAGUAUCAGAGUUGUUGAUCAUCAGGUAGGUGCAAUACCAGACUGAUGGAACAUCGAUUGUGCAGCGUCUAAGAAGCUCUGGAUAUGUUUUCUCUGCCUCGCUGCCACCUUAUCUUGCCAGUGCUGCUAUUUCUGCUGUCAACUACCUGGAGGAGAACCCAUCAGUUCUUGCAAACUCAAGGAACAAUAAUUGCGUAUAAAGGUAAAGUUGAUUUUAUUGCAUAAACAAUGGCCCGCCAGCAAUGGAGGGGAAAAUGGACCGCCGGCAAUCGCUGAAGCAAGAGCCGCGACACGCAAUCCAUGGUACCCAAGGCUGGCCCCUCCAUCGAGCACCACCGCAUGUCCGGCGCCGUGACUUUUUCCAACGGCAAAGGCCGAUGGGGGGCCACGACUCUUCAUUUUCGAGUUAGGUAUCCAGCAGGGAAAGGAAGGACUGAGGGGAGGGAAAAACUACCUGUGAACAGAGCUACGUCGUGGGGUCAAUUUACUAAAAGUGGAAAGCUAGUGUAUUUGCUUUGCCAAAAUGGUGCAGCCACGGCAGCGUGCAGGCGGCGGCGGUAGGCGGCUUGCGCAUCCAAACACAGUAUGUCCUGAAAACCAAAUCUGUUCCCUGUCAUUCCCAAUAUGUUCAUGCAUUUUCAUGUUGGUCUUUAGCAGAAGGCAAAUUUAUGUAUUUUGUUAGGCAAUAAUACUUGUUAGCAGAGGCAAAUUCAUGCAUCUGAUUAGACAACUUUUAUUGAACAUUUUUUUUACAUUUAAAGCAUUUUACCAUAUCAUGCUAUUAUGUGGUAUCUGAAUUAGGCAAUAAUUAUUUCAGAAGGAAAAUUCAUGUAUUACAUUAGGCAUCUUCAUUGAAUAAUCCAUUAUUUUUGCCUGCUUAUUUGUUUUAUAUUGCUGAGUUUAUUAUGAUAUGCCUACAAGCAAGAAUGGUUUCAUCAAAACAUAUAGUUGAGCAAAAUGUUCUGUUCAUUCAUCAUGAGAGUUUAUCUAUGCUAAUACACCACUUUUGACUGUUCUCUACCCUGAUACUAUGAAAUAAUAUGGAUCAUAGGCAAAAUAGUGUACUUCAUUAGGUAAUCUUUUAUCGAGCAUUUCAUAAUUUUUUUUCUUUUAUUGGCUACCUUAAGUUAUGUAACAUACAACUACUAGUAUCUCUGCAGUUGACAAAGUGAGGAGAAGAUGCAGCUUCAUCGGUGAACAAGAACUGAAAUAACGCUAUACUUAGCUGCCGGUGUGUUUUGUAGGGGUAGCAUCAUCCUCCAGAUUGAUGCCAAUUGGUCCAAAAUUCCAUAAUGUUUCACUACAAAGAUUCAAAAACCUGUAUGGUUUUUGGGCUCUACAGGCCCUUCCUCAUCACCUAGUAAUGUAGCAUCAGCGUGACACUAUACAUUCCUAAGAGAAAUGCAACAGUUUUGAGGUUUGGCAAAUAAAUGUAUUAUCCGUGCAAUUUUUGUUGCUUC
Panicum virgatum (switchgrass) is the source of this 2058-nucleotide long non-coding RNA. RefSeq lists it as uncharacterized. The transcript has 2 exons. The record is from RefSeq and is a predicted model, not a curated record. Lineage: Eukaryota; Viridiplantae; Streptophyta; Magnoliopsida; Poales; Poaceae.